AGAGAGUUAGUCUAAGUAAGACAGUUGAUUUCGACUCAACAAACCAUAGCUUACCCUAUGACUCUCUU
This 68-nucleotide transfer RNA is filed under the name Cacatua alba (White cockatoo). Its description in RNAcentral is "tRNA-Arg". It matches the Rfam family "tRNA". From Rfam's summary of the family: Transfer RNA (tRNA) molecules are approximately 80 nucleotides in length. Their secondary structure includes four short double-helical elements and three loops (D, anti-codon, and T loops). Further hydrogen bonds mediate the characteristic L-shaped molecular structure. tRNAs have two regions of fundamental functional importance: the anti-codon, which is responsible for specific mRNA codon recognition, and the 3' end, to which the tRNAs corresponding amino acid is attached (by aminoacyl-tRNA synthetases). tRNAs cope with the degeneracy of the genetic code in two manners: having more than one tRNA (with a specific anti-codon) for a particular amino acid; and 'wobble' base-pairing, i.e. permitting non-standard base-pairing at the 3rd anti-codon position. The record is from RNAcentral. Lineage: Eukaryota; Metazoa; Chordata; Aves; Psittaciformes; Cacatuidae.